RNAcentral lists this ribosomal RNA (497 nucleotides) under uncultured bacterium. RNAcentral's name for it is "partial 16S ribosomal RNA". It matches the Rfam family "Bacterial small subunit ribosomal RNA", at positions 28 to 507 of the family's 1533-position model. The record is from RNAcentral.
GAUGAACGCUGGCGGCGUGCCUAAUACAUGCAAGUCGAGCGAACAGACGAGGAGCUUGCUCCUCUGACGUUAGCGGCGGACGGGUGAGUAACACGUGGAUAACCUACCUAUAAGACUGGGAUAACUUCGGGAAACCGGAGCUAAUACCGGAUAAUAUAUUGAACCGCAUGGUUCAAUAGUGAAAGACGGUUUUGCUGUCACUUAUAGAUGGAUCCGCGCCGCGUUAGCUAGUUGUUAAGGUAACGGCCUACCAAGGCAACGAUGCGUAGCCGACCUGAGAGGGGGAUAGGCCACACUGGAACUUAGACACGGACAAGACGCCUACGGGAGGCACCAGUAGCGUAUCUUCCGCAGUGGGCGAAAGCCUGACGGAGCAACGCCGAGUGAGUUAUGAAGGUCUUCGGAUCGUAAAACUCUGUUAUUAGUGAAAAACAAAUGUGUAAGUAACUAUGCACGUCUUGACGGUAACUAAUCAGAAAGCCACGGCUAACUACGUG